RNAcentral lists this ribosomal RNA (253 nucleotides) under uncultured bacterium. RNAcentral's name for it is "partial 16S ribosomal RNA". It matches the Rfam family "Bacterial small subunit ribosomal RNA", at positions 524 to 776 of the family's 1533-position model. The record is from RNAcentral.
UACGGAGGGUGCUAGCGUUGUUCGGAAUCACUGGGCGUAAAGUGCGCGUAGGCGGCUCGGCACGUCCGUUGUGAAAUCGCCCGGCUCAACUGGGCGGGGUCGGCGGAUACGGCCGAGCUGGAGCAAGCUAGGGGGCAAUGGAAUUCCCGGUGUAGUGGUGGAAUGCGUAGAUAUCGGGAGGAACACCAGUGGCGAAGGCGGUUGCCUGGAGCUUUGCUGACGCUGAUGCGCGAAAGCGUGGGGAGCGAUCCGG